AUAGGGGAGCCGGAGGGAAACCGAGUCUUAAUUGGGCGUUAAGUUGCAGGGUAUAGACCCGAAACCCGGUGAUCUAGCCAUGGGCAGGUUGAAGGUUGGGUAACACUAACUGGAGGACCGAACCGACUAAUGUUGAAAAAUUAGCGGAUGACCUGUGGCUGGGGGUGAAAGGCCAAUCAAACCGGGAGAUAGCUGGUUCUCCCCGAAAGCUAUUUAGGUAGCGCCUCGUGAAUUCAUCUCCGGGGGUAGAGCACUGUUUCGGCUAGGGGGCCAUCCCGGCUUACCAACCCGAUGCAAACUGCGAAUACCGGAGAAUGUUAUCACGGGAGACACACGGCGGGUGCUAACGUCCGUCGUGAAGAGGGAAACAACCCAGACCGCCAGCUAAGGUCCCAAAGUCAUGGUUAAGUGGGAAACGAUGUGGGAAGGCCCAGACAGCCAGGAUGUUGGCUUAGAAGCAGCCAUCAUUUAAAGAAAGCGUAAUAGCUCACUGGUCGAGUCGGCCUGCGCGGAAGAUGUAACGGGGCUAAACCAUGCACCGAAGCUGCGGCAGCGACACUGUGUGUUGUUGGGUAGGGGAGCGUUCUGUAAGCCUGUGAAGGUGGCCUGUGAGGGUUGCUGGAGGUAUCAGAAGUGCGAAUGCUGACAUAAGUAACGAUAAAGCGGGUGAAAAGCCCGCUCGCCGGAAGACCAAGGGUUCCUGUCCAACGUUAAUCGGGGCAGGGUGAGUCGACCCCUAAGGCGAGGCCGAAAGGCGUAGUCGAUGGGAAACGGGUUAAUAUUCCCGUACUUGGUGUUACUGCGAAGGGGGGACGGAGAAGGCUAUGUUGGCCGGGCGACGGUUGUCCCGGUUUAAGCGUGUAGGUGUGUGUUCCAGGUAAAUCCGGUUCACUUUAACACUGAGGCGUGAUGACGAGGCACUACGGUGCUGAAGCAACAAAUGCCCUGCUUCCAGGAAAAGCCUCUAAGCAUCAGGUAACAUCAAAUCGUACCCCAAACCGACACAGGUGGUCAGGUAGAGAAUACCAAGGCGCUUGAGAGAACUCGGGUGAAGGAACUAGGCAAAAUGGUGCCGUAACUUCGGGAGAAGGCACGCUGACAUGUAGGUGAAGUGAUUUACUCAUGGAGCUGAAGUCAGUCGAAGAUACCAGCUGGCUGCAACUGUUUAUUAAAAACACAGCACUGUGCAAACACGAAAGUGGACGUAUACGGUGUGACGCCUGCCCGGUGCCGGAAGGUUAAUUGAUGGGGUCAGCGCAAGCGAAGCUCCUGAUCGAAGCCCCGGUAAACGGCGGCCGUAACUAUAACGGUCCUAAGGUAGCGAAAUUCCUUGUCGGGUAAGUUCCGACCUGCACGAAUGGCGUAAUGAUGGCCAGGCUGUCUCCACCCGAGACUCAGUGAAAUUGAACUCGCUGUGAAGAUGCAGUGUACCCGCGGCAAGACGGAAAGACCCCGUGAACCUUUACUAUAGCUUGACACUGAACAUUGAGCCUUGAUGUGUAGGAUAGGUGGGAGGCUUUGAAGCGUGGACGCCAGUCUGCGUGGAGCCGACCUUGAAAUACCACCCUUUAAUGUUUGAUGUUCUAACGUGGACCCGUGAUCCGGGUUGCGGACAGUGUCUGGUGGGUAGUUUGACUGGGGCGGUCUCCUCCUAAAGAGUAACGGAGGAGCACGAAGGUUGGCUAAUCCUGGUCGGACAUCAGGAGGUUAGUGCAAUGGCAUAAGCCAGCUUGACUGCGAGCGUGACGGCGCGAGCAGGUGCGAAAGCAGGUCAUAGUGAUCCGGUGGUUCUGAAUGGAAGGGCCAUCGCUCAACGGAUAAAAGGUACUCCGGGGAUAACAGGCUGAUACCGCCCAAGAGUUCAUAUCGACGGCGGUGUUUGGCACCUCGAUGUCGGCUCAUCACAUCCUGGGGCUGAAGUAGGUCCCAAGGGUAUGGCUGUUCGCCAUUUAAAGUGGUACGCGAGCUGGGUUUAGAACGUCGUGAGACAGUUCGGUCCCUAUCUGCCGUGGGCGCUGGAGAACUGAGGGGGGCUGCUCCUAGUACGAGAGGACCGGAGUGGACGCAUCACUGGUGUUCGGGUUGUCAUGCCAAUGGCACUGCCCGGUAGCUAAAUGCGGAAGAGAUAAGUGCUGAAAGCAUCUAAGCACGAAACUUGCCCCGAGAUGAGUUCUCCCUGAGACUUAGAGUCUCCUGAAGGAACGUUGAAGACGACGACGUUGAUAGGCCGGGUGUGUAAGCGCAGCGAUGCGUUGAGCUAACCGGUACUAAUGAACCGUGAGGCUUAACCUUACAACGCCGAAG
RNAcentral lists this ribosomal RNA (2304 nucleotides) under Salmonella enterica subsp. enterica serovar Wilhelmsburg. RNAcentral describes it as "partial 23S ribosomal RNA". It matches the Rfam family "Bacterial large subunit ribosomal RNA", at positions 657 to 2925 of the family's 2925-position model. The record is from RNAcentral. Lineage: Bacteria; Pseudomonadati; Pseudomonadota; Gammaproteobacteria; Enterobacterales; Enterobacteriaceae.